AACUAAUCAUUUUUUUGUUGUUGUUGAACUUUCUUUUGUUUUUCAUUAGGUAUUUGCUUUGGUUUGUGACUCCGAAAAUCCACAGCUUUUUACCAUUGAAUUUAUAAAAGGGCAAGUCCGGAAAUACUCUUCAACAGAAAGAGAUUCCUUGUUAGCAAGUUUGCUGGAUGGAGUAAGAGCCUCUGGUAACAGAGAUGUUUGUGUAAAAAUGACACCAACCCAUAAAGGUCAGCGAUGGGGGUUACUCAGUAUGCCUGUUGAUGAGGAAGUAGAGAGCCUGCAUCUCAGAUUCUUAGCUACACCUCCAAAUGGCAAUUUUGCAGAUGCUGUAUUCAGAUUCAAUGCUAAUAUUUCGUAUAGUGGAGUUCUACAUGCAGUAACGCAGGAUGGUCUCUUCUCAGAAAACAAAGAAAAACUGAUCAAUAAUGCCAUAACAGCAUUAUUGUCCCAAGAGGGAGAUGUUGUUGCUUCAAAUGCAGAACUUGAGAGUCAAUUCCAGGCUGUAAGAAGACUUGUAGCUUCCAAAGCUGGUUUUCUGGCCUUCACUCAGCUUCCAAAGUUCCGGGAGCGUUUAGGGGUGAAGGUAGUAAAAGCACUCAAGAGGAGCAACAAUGGAGUGAUCCAUGCAGCCGUUGAUAUGCUUUGUGCCCUCAUGUGUCCCAUGCAUGAUGACUAUGACCUAAGACAAGAACAGCUAAACAAAGCUUCUCUUCUCUCUUCAAAGAAGUUUCUGGAAAAUUUACUGGAGAAAUUUAAUUCCCAUGUGGAUCAUGGGACUGGUGCCCUAGUUAUUAGUUCACUUUUGGACUUCCUUACCUUUGCCCUCUGUGCUCCAUAUAGUGAGACGACUGAAGGGCAGCAGUUUGAUAUGCUUUUAGAGAUGGUAGCCUCCAAUGGAAGAACCCUCUUUAAACUCUUUCAGCAUCCUUCCAUGGCAAUUAUAAAGGGAGCUGGAUUGGUUAUGAAGGCAAUAAUAGAGGAAGGUGACAAAGAAAUUGCUACAAAAAUGCAGGAACUUGCCCUAAGUGAAGGUGCCUUACCUCGCCACUUGCAUACUGCAAUGUUUACAAUAAGUUCAGAUCAAAGGAUGCUCACAAAUAGACAGCUAAGUAGACAUUUAGUGGGGCUCUGGACGGCUGAUAAUGCAACUGCGACAAACUUGUUGAAACGCAUUUUGCCACCAGGCUUGCUCGCAUACUUGGACAGCUCAGAUCCAGUUCCUGAGAAGGAUGCUGAUCGGAUGCAUGUUAGAGAUAAUGUGAAAAUAGCAAUGGAUCAGUAUGGAAAAUUUAAUAAAGUUCCAGAAUGGCAAAGACUGGCUGGAAAAGCCGCUAAAGAAGUUGAAAAAUUUGCCAAAGAAAAAGUGGACCUUGUGUUGAUGCACUGGAGGGAUAGGAUGGGCAUUGCUCAAAAAGAGGUAAAAAAAUAUGCUUCUAAAUUUAUAGCAUUUCUACAUGUCCUAGGCCUAACUUCAGUUUCUGUUGUUCACAGUGAAGGCAUUCAGAUAUGUCUGACCGAAUACCUGAAGCUUAAAAUGAAUGUCACCUAAAUCUGACUCAUAUUUUUCCUCCUUGAUUAAUAGUUUUGUGAAUUAAUGAUUAGGAUUUUAGUUAGGUAUUUAAUAUAG
RNAcentral lists this long non-coding RNA (1627 nucleotides) under Ictidomys tridecemlineatus (thirteen-lined ground squirrel). RNAcentral describes it as "lncRNA (ENSSTOG00000030637.1)". Lineage: Eukaryota; Metazoa; Chordata; Mammalia; Rodentia; Sciuridae. The record is from RNAcentral.